Molecule: ribosomal RNA, 278 nt
Filed under: Strombidinopsis acuminata
Lineage: Eukaryota; Ciliophora; Spirotrichea; Choreotrichida; Strombidinopsidae
Description: partial Bacterial large subunit ribosomal RNA
Rfam family: Bacterial large subunit ribosomal RNA
Source: RNAcentral
UGAGACAGUUCGGUCCCUAUCUGCCGUGGGUGUUGAAUACUUGAGAGGAGCUGUCCCUAGUACGAGAGGACCGGGAUGGACGUAUCUCUGGUGGACCUGUUGUCGUGCCAACGGCAUAGCAGGGUAGCUAUAUACGGAAUGGAUAACCGCUGAAGGCAUCUAAGCGGGAAACUAACCCAAAGACGAGUAUUCCCUGAGAGCCGUGGAAGACUACCACGUUGAUAGGCUGGGUGUGGAAGCGCAGUAAUGUGUGAAGCUUACCAGUACUAAUAGCUCGA